UAACACCAGCGCCACAAGUGGCAACCGCUUUUAUUGGGCCUAAAGCGUCCGUAGCCGGUUCAGCAAAUUUCCUGUGAAAUUGUUGGGCUUAACUUAACAUCGUGCAGGAAACACUACUAGACUUGGGACCGGGAGGCGUCAGAGGUAUUCUUGAGGGAGCGGUAAAAUGCUAUAAUCUCAGGAGGACCACCGAUGGCGAAGGCAUCUGACGAGAACGGAUUCGACGGUGAGGGACGAAAGCUAGGGGAGCAAACCGGAUUAGAUACCCGAGUAGUCCUAGCUGUAAACGCUGCGAGCUAGGUGUUACGUAUUCUUCGGGAAUACGUAGUGUCGAAGCGAAGGUGUUAAGCUCGCCGCCUGGGAAUUAUGGUCGCAAGACUG
Molecule: ribosomal RNA, 381 nt
Filed under: uncultured euryarchaeote
Lineage: Archaea; Methanobacteriati; Methanobacteriota
Description: bacterial SSU rRNA
Rfam family: Archaeal small subunit ribosomal RNA
Source: RNAcentral